AAUUAUUAUUAGAUUUUUUAAAUAAUUAUUCACGAAAUAAAUUGAGCUAAAUUUUUGGUAUUUUUGGAAAUUAUAACUAUAUGUUACAAAAUAUAUUAACUAAAUAGAUUUAGGGGUGAAAGGCCUAUCAAAUUUUAUGAUAUCUUGAAGUAUAUAAAAUAUAUUAAGUAUUUCUAAUUCAACUAUUGAAUGUUUAGGUUCAAUAGUAACAUUAUAUUUUUUAAAAAAUUGUUCAAUUUUUUUAAGUAAAAUUGAGUUAGAGCAUAAAAUAUACAUCAAAUUUUUAUUAUAUGAAUAUAAAUAUACUACGGUUAUUAAUAAAUAUAAUCAUAUAUAAUGUAAUUAUUAGUAAUAGUUUAUUAAACUAUAUAAAGGAAUUCGGCAAGAAAAUUUUUCACCUGUUUAUCAAAAACAUAGCUUAUUGAAUAUCAUAAUAAGUAACCCCUGCUCAAUGGAAAUCUAAAUAGCCGCAGUACCUUGACUGUGCAAAGGUAGCAUAAUCAAUUGGCUUAUAAUUGAAGUCUGGAAUGAAUGGGUAAUCUGGAAAAUAACUGUCUUUAUUUGUAGUAUUUUGAAUUUACUUAUAAAGUGAAAAUACUUUAACAUAAAUAUAAGACGAGAAGACCCUAGAAAUUUUUUGUUAAUAACUUUUGUUGGGGCGACAGGGUAACAUAUAAACUUACUUACAUUUAUAUAAAUCUUAUAAGGUACGUAACUAAAUUACUCUAGGGAUAACAGCAUAAUAUAUAAAAGUUUAUGACCUCGAUGUUGGAGUAGGUAAUUAAAUAUUUAAAAGAUAUCUUAAUUUGCUCUGUUCGAGCAGUACCACCUACAU
RNAcentral lists this ribosomal RNA (835 nucleotides) under Perforatella incarnata. RNAcentral describes it as "Monachoides incarnatus partial large subunit ribosomal RNA". The record is from RNAcentral. Lineage: Eukaryota; Metazoa; Mollusca; Gastropoda; Stylommatophora; Hygromiidae.